CCUACGGGGUGCAGCAGUGGGGAAUAUUGGACAAUGGGGGGAACCCUGAUCCAGCCAUGCCGCGUGUGUGAAGAAGGCCCUCGGGUUGUAAAGCACUUUCAGUGAGGAAGAACGCCUGGUGGUUAAUACCCAUCAGGAAAGACAUCACUCACAGAAGAAGCACCGGCUAACUCCGUGCCAGCAGCCGCGGUAAUACGGAGGGUGCGAGCGUUAAUCGGAAUUACUGGGCGUAAAGCGCGCGUAGGUGGCUUGAUAAGCCGGUUGUGAAAGCCCCGGGCUCAACCUGGGAACGGCAUCCGGAACUGUCAAGCUAGAGUGCAGGAGAGGAAGGUAGAAUUCCCGGUGUAGCGGUGAAAUGCGUAGAGAUCGGGAGGAAUACCAGUGGCGAAGGCGGCCUUCUGGACUGACACUGACACUGAGGUGCGAAAGCGUGGGUAGCAAACAGGAUUAGAUACCCGAGUAGUC
Molecule: ribosomal RNA, 465 nt
Filed under: Vreelandella stevensii
Lineage: Bacteria; Pseudomonadati; Pseudomonadota; Gammaproteobacteria; Oceanospirillales; Halomonadaceae
Description: partial 16S ribosomal RNA
Rfam family: Bacterial small subunit ribosomal RNA
Source: RNAcentral